AUUGAACGCUGGCGGCAGGCCUAACACAUGCAAGUCGAGCGAGCGGCGGACGGGUGAGUAAUGUCCGGGAAACUGCCUGAUGGAGGGGGAUAACUACUGGAAACGGUAGCUAAUACCGCAUACCAUCAGAUGUGCCCAGAUGGGAUUAGCUAGUAGGUGGGGUAACGGCUCACCUAGGCGACGAUCCCUAGCUGGUCUGAGAGGAUGACCAGCCACACUGGAACUGAGACACGGUACAGACUCCUACGGGAGGCAGCAGUGGUGAAUAUUGUACAAGGGGCGCAAGCCGGAUGCAGCCGUGCCGCGUGUGUGGAGAGGGCCUUCGGGUUGUAAAGCACGUUCAGCGGGGAGGCGUUACCCGCAGAAGAAGCACCGGCUAACUCCGUGCCAGCCGCCGCGGUAAUUC
This 406-nucleotide ribosomal RNA is filed under the name uncultured bacterium. Its description in RNAcentral is "partial 16S ribosomal RNA". It matches the Rfam family "Bacterial small subunit ribosomal RNA", at positions 29 to 526 of the family's 1533-position model. The record is from RNAcentral.